This 290-nucleotide ribosomal RNA is filed under the name Enterococcus faecalis. Its description in RNAcentral is "partial 16S rRNA". It matches the Rfam family "Bacterial small subunit ribosomal RNA", at positions 34 to 302 of the family's 1533-position model. Lineage: Bacteria; Bacillati; Bacillota; Bacilli; Lactobacillales; Enterococcaceae. The record is from RNAcentral.
CGCUGGCGGCGUGCCUAAUACAUGCAAGUCGAACGCUUCUUUCCUCCCGAGUGCUUGCACUCAAUUGGAAAGAGGAGUGGCGGACGGGUGAGUAACACGUGGGUAACCUACCCAUCAGAGGGGGAUAACACUUGGAAACAGGUGCUAAUACCGCAUAACAGUUUAUGCCGCAUGGCAUAAGAGUGAAAGGCGCUUUCGGGUGUCGCUGAUGGAUGGACCCGCGGUGCAUUAGCUAGUUGGUGAGGUAACGGCUCACCAAGGCCACGAUGCAUAGCCGACCUGAGAGGGGU